GUGGCUGUAGCUCAACUUGGUUAGAGCACCUGGCUGUGGCCCAGGGGGUUGGGGGUUCAAAUCCCCUCAGUCACC
RNAcentral lists this transfer RNA (75 nucleotides) under Planctomycetes bacterium RBG_16_43_13. RNAcentral's name for it is "tRNA-His". It matches the Rfam family "tRNA". From Rfam's summary of the family: Transfer RNA (tRNA) molecules are approximately 80 nucleotides in length. The record is from RNAcentral. Lineage: Bacteria; Pseudomonadati; Planctomycetota.